CCUUCAGUUAGAAUGUAGGACGACACAUGGCCUGAGGGACAGAGGCCGCAAGAAGAAACAAGGUUCCUAUGUGGAAGCCCUAAAUUCCAGUAUCUCAGAAUGUGACUGCAUUUGAAGAUAGUGCCUUAAAAAAGGUGAUUAAUUUAAAAUGAAGCCAGUAGAGUGGGCUCUAAUCCAGUCCGACUGCUGAACUUAUAAGAAGAGAAAAUUUGGAUGCAGAGAUGAGGAGAGAGGCCUCAGAAGAAACCAAACCUGCCAAAUCCUUGAUCUUUGCUCCCAAUCUCACCCAUCACUGUAAGAAAAGAAAUUCUGUCACUUAAGCCACCCAGUCUGUGGUAUUUUCUUAUGGCAGCCCUAGCAAAUUAAUAUGCCAACCUAAAAUAUUUGAUUGAUAUAAAAUGUCUUAUUUUCUAAAG
RNAcentral lists this long non-coding RNA (416 nucleotides) under Homo sapiens (human). RNAcentral's name for it is "non-protein coding lnc-PLSCR4-3:2". Lineage: Eukaryota; Metazoa; Chordata; Mammalia; Primates; Hominidae. The record is from RNAcentral.